GGGUCGCUAGCUCAACUGGUAGAGCAGCGGACUCUUAAUCCGCUGGUUCGGGGUUCGAGUCCCCGGCGACUCACCA
This 76-nucleotide transfer RNA is filed under the name Thermoanaerobaculaceae bacterium. RNAcentral describes it as "tRNA-Lys". It matches the Rfam family "tRNA". From Rfam's summary of the family: Transfer RNA (tRNA) molecules are approximately 80 nucleotides in length. The record is from RNAcentral. Lineage: Bacteria; Pseudomonadati; Acidobacteriota; Thermoanaerobaculia; Thermoanaerobaculales; Thermoanaerobaculaceae.